Molecule: ribosomal RNA, 404 nt
Filed under: Actinomycetes bacterium
Lineage: Bacteria; Bacillati; Actinomycetota; Actinomycetes
Description: Actinobacteria bacterium partial 16S ribosomal RNA
Rfam family: Bacterial small subunit ribosomal RNA
Source: RNAcentral
UGGGGAAUAUUGGACAAUGGGCGCAAGCCUGAUCCAGCCAUGCCGCGUGAGUGAUGAAGGCCCUAGGGUUGUAAAGCUCUUUCACCGGUGAAGAUAAUGACGGUAACCGGAGAAGAAGCCCCGGCUAACUUCGUGCCAGCAGCCGCGGUAAUACGAAGGGGGCUAGCGUUGUUCGGAUUUACUGGGCGUAAAGCGCACGUAGGCGGACUAUUAAGUCAGGGGUGAAAUCCCGGGGCUCAACCCCGGAACUGCCUUUGAUACUGGUAGUCUUGAGUUCGAGAGAGGUGAGUGGAAUUCCGAGUGUAGAGGUGAAAUUCUUAGAUAUUCGGAGGAACACCAGUGGCGAAGGCGGCUCACUGGCUCGAUACUGACGCUGAGGUGCGAAAGCGUGGGGAGCAAACAGG